CACGUAGGGCGCGAGCGUUGUCCGGAAUUAUUGGGCGUAAAGAGCUCGUAGGCGGCCUGUUGCGUCCGCUGUGAAAGCCCGGGGCUUAACCCCGGGUCGGCAGUGGAUACGGGCAGGCUAGAGGUAGGUAGGGGAGAAUGGAAUUCCCGGUGUAGCGGUGAAAUGCGCAGAUAUCAGGAGGAACACCAAUGGCGAAGGCAGAUCUCUGGGCCGUAACUGACGCUGAGGAGCGAAAGCAUGGGGAGCGAACAGG
RNAcentral lists this ribosomal RNA (253 nucleotides) under uncultured bacterium. Its description in RNAcentral is "partial 16S ribosomal RNA". It matches the Rfam family "Bacterial small subunit ribosomal RNA", at positions 524 to 776 of the family's 1533-position model. The record is from RNAcentral.